AUGAACGCUGGCGGCGUGCCUAAUACAUGCAAGUCGAGCGAACAGACGAGGAGCUUGCUCCUCUGACGUUAGCGGCGGACGGGUGAGUAACACGUGGAUAACCUACCUAUAAGACUGGGAUAACUUCGGGAAACCGGAGCUAAUACCGGAUAAUAUAUUGAACCGCAUGGUUCAAUAGUGAAAGACGGAUUUGCUGUCACUUAUAGAUGGAUCCGCGCCGCAUUAGCUAGUUGGUAAGGUAACGGCUUACCAAGGCAACGAUGCGUAGCCGACCUGAGAAGGUGAUCGGCCACACUGGAACUGAGCCACGGUCCAGACUCCUACGGGAGGCAGCAGUAGGGAAUCUUCCGCAAUGGGCGAAAGCCUGACGGAGCAACGCCGCGUGAGUGAUGAAGGUCUUCGGAUCGUAAAACUCUGUUAUUAGGGAAGAACAAAUGUGUAAGUAACUAUGCACGUCUUGACGGUACCUAAUCAGAAAGCCACGGCUAACUACGUG
This 496-nucleotide ribosomal RNA is filed under the name uncultured bacterium. Its description in RNAcentral is "partial 16S ribosomal RNA". It matches the Rfam family "Bacterial small subunit ribosomal RNA", at positions 29 to 507 of the family's 1533-position model. The record is from RNAcentral.